UACGAAGGGGGCUAGCGUUGCUCGGAAUCACUGGGCGUAAAGGGUGCGUAGGCGGGUCUUUAAGCCAGGGGUGAAAUCCAGGAGCUCAACUCCAGAACUGCCUUUGAUACUGAGGAUCUUGAGUUCGGGAGAGGUGAGUGGAACUGCGAGUGUAGAGGUGAAAUUCGUAGAUAUUCGCAAGAACACCAGUGGCGAAGGCGGCUCACUGGCCCGAUACUGACGCUGAGGCACGAAAGCGUGGGGAGCAAACAGG
Molecule: ribosomal RNA, 253 nt
Filed under: uncultured bacterium
Lineage: Bacteria
Description: partial 16S ribosomal RNA
Rfam family: Bacterial small subunit ribosomal RNA
Source: RNAcentral